CUUUCUUUGCUGACGACCGGCGCACGGGUGAGUAACACGUAUCCAACCUGCCCUUUACUCGGGGAUAGCCUUUCGAAAGAGAGAUUAAUACCCGAUAGUAUAAUGAUUCCGCAUGGUUUCAUUAUUAAAGGAUUCCGGUAAAGGAUGGGGAUGCGUUCCAUUAGGUUGUUGGUGAGGUAACGGCUCACCAAGCCUUCGAUGGAUAGGGGUUCUGAGAGGAAGGUCCCCCACAUUGGAACUGAGACACGGUCCAA
This 254-nucleotide ribosomal RNA is filed under the name uncultured bacterium. RNAcentral describes it as "partial 16S ribosomal RNA". It matches the Rfam family "Bacterial small subunit ribosomal RNA", at positions 79 to 334 of the family's 1533-position model. The record is from RNAcentral.